Long non-coding RNA from Magnolia sinica, 531 nucleotides. RefSeq lists it as uncharacterized. Lineage: Eukaryota; Viridiplantae; Streptophyta; Magnoliopsida; Magnoliales; Magnoliaceae. The transcript is spliced from 3 exons. The record is from RefSeq and is a predicted model, not a curated record.
ACAAUAUCAAAGUUGGAUGAAGAAGCCAAGAGUGUUUGUGUUGCGAUCCUUGGUGAAAUGCGCCUGGAUCCUGGAAUAGUGGAGUUCUACCAUAGUGGAAGUUACCUUGCAAUUGCAGGUUCUGUUAUGAUAUCAGAUAUUACAGUGUGGUGAUGCGAGAGGAUUCUGUUGCGGAAAUUGACAAAAAUGACACAGUCGUGGUGAAGUUUAUAUAAUCAACAGAGGCUUCUGUUGUGGUUCUUAGAUAUCGGAGAGCAUCAAAGCAUGAGUGCCCUGUUGUCGGCUGGACUCAUCUUCUGUUUUGUGGCUGUGAUUUGCCGAGGAGAUGCUAUAGCUAUUUUUAGUCUCAGCUGAUGUACGGUUUCAGUUGUUUGGCUGUAUGAGGCUAUUUCAGUCCCAUUCUCCAGCUAGUUCAUGUUCAUUUGUAGUUUGUUUUGAAAAUUUUAAAUAGUCUGUUAACUGUUUUAUUAGUAUUGUGCUGGUUGUUUUAUGUCGAAUGCUAAAUGGCUGAAACAUGUACAGGUUUGAUCA